GACAGAGGUCUCAAGCGUUGUUCGGAUUCAUUGGGCGUAAAGGGUGCGUAGGCGGCGGGGUAAGUCUGAUGUGAAAUCCCGGGGCUCAACUCCGGAACUGCAUUGGAUACUGCUCUGCUUGAGUACUGGAGAGGAGACUGGAAUUUACGGUGUAGCAGUGAAAUGCGUAGAUAUCGUAAGGAAGACCAGUGGCGAAGGCGAGUCUCUGGACAGUUACUGACGCUGAGGCACGAAGGCUAGGGGAGCAAACGGG
RNAcentral lists this ribosomal RNA (253 nucleotides) under uncultured Spartobacteria bacterium. Its description in RNAcentral is "partial 16S ribosomal RNA". It matches the Rfam family "Bacterial small subunit ribosomal RNA", at positions 524 to 776 of the family's 1533-position model. Lineage: Bacteria; Pseudomonadati; Verrucomicrobiota; Spartobacteria. The record is from RNAcentral.